Molecule: long non-coding RNA, 854 nt
Filed under: Homo sapiens (human)
Lineage: Eukaryota; Metazoa; Chordata; Mammalia; Primates; Hominidae
Description: THUMPD3 antisense RNA 1
Source: RNAcentral
GUGGGUAAAAUGCUAUCAUGCUAUCAAACAGCAUCACAUGCUACAGAGAAGUCUUGUGAAAGGAUGUCAGUGUGGCAAACUUCAUUGUCUUUUAAGAAAUUGCCACAGCUAUCGUAAUCUUCAACCACCACCACCCUGAUGAGUCAGUAGCCAUCGUUAACGUUGGCGUAAGACCCUCCACCAGCAAAAAGAUUGUUAGCAUUUUUUUAGCAGUGAUGUAUUUAUCAAUUAUACAUAAUGCUAUUGUACACUUCUUAAUAGACUAUGGUAUAGUGUAACCAUAAUUUAUGCACUGGGAAACCAACAAAUUCAUGAGAUUCGCUUUAUUGUAGUGCUCUGGAAUUGAGCCUGCCGUGUUUCUGAGGUUGCUCCUUGAGGGCAGGACAGUUCUUAUGGCUUUAUCCGUUGCGUAAGCACAGAGAGGUCUGCGAGGUCAAAACUAUUGUCAUGAUAGCAAGAUGCCUGUCUUUUUCAUUUAUUCUCACGGUGUGCAGAGGCUACAUGAUGUGUGAUGACAUCCUCAUUGAUGUUAAUGAAUGGUGCUAUACUUGAAUUUUCUAAGGUGUCAUUAGGUAGGUUUAGGUAUGCAUACUUGUUUUUAGAAAUUAUUUUUUUCCUUUUUCCCAUUUUUAGAAAUCAACUCAUUUUUUAGGUUAUGCCUUCAGUAAUCUUUGCAACCUCAAUAUUGUGUAAUGGUUACUUUAAAAUACUGUAGUUUUCUUUGUGCCUAAGUAUAAACAUAAGUACAUUUUGUUGUUUUGUUUGCAAUAGUGGUUUAAAUAUUUUCCCAAAAUAUCCAAAUUUAAAAAUUCUACAACUUUAGAAUUUAAUAAAUUUAUUCUAAAAUAUUUAUA